Molecule: ribosomal RNA, 496 nt
Filed under: uncultured bacterium
Lineage: Bacteria
Description: partial 16S ribosomal RNA
Rfam family: Bacterial small subunit ribosomal RNA
Source: RNAcentral
GAUGAACGCUAGCGGCAGGCCUAAUACAUGCAAGUCGAGGGGUAGAGCUAGCUUGCUAGCUUGAGACCGGCGCACGGGUGCGUAACGCGUAUGCAACCUACCUCAAUCAGGGGGAUAGCCCGGAGAAAUCCGGAUUAACACCGCACAAAAACACAGGGUAGCAUUACCCAAUGUUCAAAUAUUCAUAGGAUUUGGAUGGGCAUGCGUGCCAUUAGUUAGUUGGCGGGGUAACGGCCCGCCAAGGCGACGAUGGCUAGGGGAUCUGAGAGGAUGACCCCCCACACUGGUACUGAGACACGGACCAGACUCCUACGGGGGGCAGCAGUAAGGAAUAUUGGUCGAUGGGGGCAACCCUGAACCAGCCAUGCCGCGUGCAGGAUGACGGCCCUCCGGGUUGUAAGCUGCUUUUGUACGGGAAUAAACCUUUCUUCGUGAAGAAAGCUGAAUGUACCGUAAGAAUAAGGAUCGGCUAACUCCGUGCCAGCAGCCGCGGUAA